Molecule: ribosomal RNA, 479 nt
Filed under: uncultured bacterium
Lineage: Bacteria
Description: bacterial SSU rRNA
Rfam family: Bacterial small subunit ribosomal RNA
Source: RNAcentral
GAUGAACGCUAGCGGCAGGCUUAACACAUGCAAGUCGAGGGGUAUUGGUUUUCGGACCAAGAGACCGGCGCACGGGUGCGUAACGCGUAUGCAAUCUACCUUUUGCAGAGGGAUAGCCCCAGAGAAAUUUGGAUUAAUACCUCAUAGUAUAGUACUUUGGCAUCAAGGAACUAUUAAAGUCACAACGGCAAAAGAUGAGCAUGCGUCCCAUUAGCUAGUUGGUAAGGUAACGGCUUACCAAGGCUACGAUGGGUAGGGGUCCUGAGAGGGAGAUCCCCCCACACUGGUACUGAGACACGGACCAGACUCCUACGGGAGGCAGCAGUGGGGAAUAUUGGACAAUGGGCGCAAGCCUGAUCCAGCCAUGCCGCGUGAGUGAUGAAGGCCUUAGGGUUGUAAAGCUCUUUUGUCCGGGAAGAUAAUGACUGUACCGGAAGAAUAAGCCCCGGCUAACUUCGUGCCAGCAGCCGCGGUAAAGU